RNAcentral lists this ribosomal RNA (520 nucleotides) under uncultured Glomus. RNAcentral's name for it is "SSU rRNA". It matches the Rfam family "Eukaryotic small subunit ribosomal RNA", at positions 569 to 1092 of the family's 1831-position model. The record is from RNAcentral. Lineage: Eukaryota; Fungi; Glomeromycota; Glomeromycetes; Glomerales; Glomeraceae.
AGCAGCCGCGGUAAUUCCAGCUCCAAUAGCGUAUAUUAAAGUUGUUGCAGUUAAAAAGCUCGUAGUUGAAUUUCGGGAUCAGUACGUUGGUCGUGCCUUCGGUACGUACUGGCGUUACUGGUUCCUACCUUCUGAGGAACCGUCAUGUCAUUAAUUUGGUGUGGUGGGAAAUCAGGACUGUUACUUUGAAAAAUUAGAGUGUUUAAAGCAGGCUCGCGCUUGAAUACAUUAGCAUGGAAUAAUGAAAUAGGACGUUCGAUCCUAUUUUGUUGGUUUCUAGGAUUGACGUAAUGAUUAAUAGGGAUAGUUGGGGGCAUUAGUAUUCAAUUGUCAGAGGUGAAAUUCUUGGAUUUAUUGAAGACUAACUACUGCGAAAGCAUUUGCCAAGGAUGUCUUCAUUAAUCAAGAACGAAAGUUAGGGGAUCGAAGACGAUCAGAUACCGUCGUAGUCUUAACCAUAAACUAUGCCGACUAGGGAUCGGAUGAUGUUAAUUUUUAAUGACUCAUUCGGCGCCUUACG